GGGGAUAUAGCAUGACAGCAUAAGCACCUGCCUGGCAAGCACAUGGUUGUGAGUUCGAUUCUCAGUACCUCCC
Molecule: transfer RNA, 73 nt
Filed under: Cavia porcellus (domestic guinea pig)
Lineage: Eukaryota; Metazoa; Chordata; Mammalia; Rodentia; Caviidae
Rfam family: tRNA
About the family: Transfer RNA (tRNA) molecules are approximately 80 nucleotides in length.
Source: Rfam by way of RNAcentral